AGUUCGGUCUCUAUCUACUGCGGGCGUUAGAGAUUUGAGUGGACCUGACCCUAGUACGAGAGGACCGGGUUGGACCGACCACUGGUGCGCCGGUUGUCCCGCCAGGGGCAUCGCCGGGUAGCUAAGUCGGGAUGGGAUAAGCGCUGAAGGCAUAUAAGCGCGAAACCCGCCACAAGAUGAGAUCUCUUUAAAGGGCCGUGGGAGAUGACCACGUCGAUAGGCCGUAGGUGGAAGUGCAGCGAUGCAUGUAGCCGAGCGGUACUAAUUGCCCGUAAGCUUGCGCA
This 284-nucleotide ribosomal RNA is filed under the name Flagellimonas zhangzhouensis. Its description in RNAcentral is "Muricauda zhangzhouensis partial 23S rRNA. Bacterial LSU". It matches the Rfam family "Bacterial large subunit ribosomal RNA", at positions 2628 to 2925 of the family's 2925-position model. Lineage: Bacteria; Pseudomonadati; Bacteroidota; Flavobacteriia; Flavobacteriales; Flavobacteriaceae. The record is from RNAcentral.